UUCUUCCAUAUCAAUAAGUGUUAUAAAAAUAAGUAUAAAUCAAUUUUGUUUGUUGCAUAAAAAGAGAAAAAAUAUGACAAAAAUUUUCAUGUUUUUUUUCGUGCUAUGGUUUGUUUUCCUUGCUUUUGUUGUAAGUGACAUACGUGCGAUCGCAGAACAAUCUUCGCCGUGUAAAGACGAUGAUGACUGUCCUUACAUAUGUCAACAUUGGUUUAUGCGUUGUGUUGAUGGUAAAUGUGUCUGUUAGUUAAGUUGAGAAUUAAUACUACGUUAAUAACUUAUGUCAAAGCUUAUAAAUUUAUUAGAAAUCUUAAUAUUGUCACUCUUAUCAAAGGUAUCUUUAGCUUAUUUUUGAAAAAUAUCAUUUAUAGUUUCUCAAUCAUAUUGACAGUGACGUAUUUCUCAUUUAUUGAAAGAAUCCUUCUAUUGUUUAAA
Molecule: long non-coding RNA, 435 nt
Organism: Cicer arietinum (chickpea)
Lineage: Eukaryota; Viridiplantae; Streptophyta; Magnoliopsida; Fabales; Fabaceae
Source: RefSeq, a predicted model, not a curated record